CGUAGGGUGCAAGCGUUAAUCGGAAUUACUGGGCGUAAAGCGUGCGCAGGCGGUUUUAUAAGUCAGCUGUGAAAUCCCCGGGCUCAACCUGGGAAUGGCAGUUGAGACUGUAAGGCUAGAGUGUGUCAGAGGGGGGUAGAAUUCCACGUGUAGCAGUGAAAUGCGUAGAGAUGUGGAGGAAUACCGAUGGCGAAGGCAGCCCCCUGGGUCAACACUGACGCUCAUGCACGAAAGCGUGGGGAGCAAACAGGAUUAGAUACCCUGGUAGUCCACGCCCUAAACGAUGUCGACUAGGUGUUGGGGAAGGAGACUUCCUUAGUACCGCAGCUAACGCGUGAAGUCGACCGCCUGGGGAGUACGGUCGCAAGAUUA
This 372-nucleotide ribosomal RNA is filed under the name uncultured organism. RNAcentral describes it as "bacterial SSU rRNA". It matches the Rfam family "Bacterial small subunit ribosomal RNA", at positions 526 to 896 of the family's 1533-position model. The record is from RNAcentral.